RNAcentral lists this ribosomal RNA (902 nucleotides) under Epichloe coenophiala. RNAcentral describes it as "LSU rRNA". It matches the Rfam family "Eukaryotic large subunit ribosomal RNA", at positions 38 to 967 of the family's 3401-position model. The record is from RNAcentral. Lineage: Eukaryota; Fungi; Ascomycota; Sordariomycetes; Hypocreales; Clavicipitaceae.
GCAUAUCAAUAAGCGGAGGAAAAGAAACCAACAGGGAUUGCCCCAGUAACGGCGAGUGAAGCGGCAACAGCUCAAAUUUGAAAUCUGGCCCCCCGGGGCCCGAGUUGUAAUUUGCAGAGGAUGCUUUUGGCGAGGCGCCUUCCGAGUUCCCUGGAACGGGACGCCACAGAGGGUGAGAGCCCCGUCUGGUUGGAUGCCGAGCCUCUGUAAAGCUCCUUCGACGAGUCGAGUAGUUUGGGAAUGCUGCUCUAAAUGGGAGGUAUAUGUCUUCUAAAGCUAAAUAUUGGCCAGAGACCGAUAGCGCACAAGUAGAGUGAUCGAAAGAUGAAAAGCACUUUGAAAAGAGGGUUAAAAUAGUACGUGAAAUUGUUGAAAGGGAAGCGCUCAUGACCAGACUUGGGCCCGGUGAAUCAUCCAGCGUUCUCGCCGGUGCACUUUGCCGGGCUCAGGCCAGCAUCAGUUCGCCCUGGGGGAGAAAGGCUCUGGGAAUGUGGCUCCUCCGGGAGUGUUAUAGCCCUCUGCGCAAUGCCCUGGGGCGGACUGAGGUCCGCGCAUCUGCAAGGAUGCUGGCGUAAUGGUCAUCAGCGACCCGUCUUGAAACACGGACCAAGGAGUCGUCCUCGUAUGCGAGUGUUCGGGUGUGAAACCCCUACGCGUAAUGAAAGUGAACGCAGGUGAGAGCUUCGGCGCAUCAUCGACCGAUCCUGAUGUUCUCGGAUGGAUUUGAGUAGGAGCAUACGGGGCCGGACCCGAAAGAAGGUGAACUAUGCCUGUAUAGGGUGAAGCCAGAGGAAACUCUGGUGGAGGCUCGCAGCGGUUCUGACGUGCAAAUCGAUCGUCAAAUAUGGGCAUGGGGGGCGAAAGACUAAUCGAACCUUCUAGUAGCUGGUUUCCGCCGAAGU